Molecule: ribosomal RNA, 497 nt
Filed under: uncultured bacterium
Lineage: Bacteria
Description: partial 16S ribosomal RNA
Rfam family: Bacterial small subunit ribosomal RNA
Source: RNAcentral
GAUGAACGCUGGCGGCGUGCCUAAUACAUGCAAGUCGAGCGAACAGACGAGGAGCUUUCUCCCCUGACUUUAUCGGCGGACGGGUGAGUAACUCGUGGUUAACCUACCUAUAAGACUGGGAUACCUUCGGGAAACCGUAGCUAAUACCGGAAAAUAUAUCGAACCUCAUGAUUCAAUAGUGAAAGACGGUUUUGCUGUCACUUAUAGAUUGAUCCGCGCCGCAUUCGUUAGUUGGUAAGGUAACGGCUUACCAAGGCGGCGAUGCGUAGCCGACCUGAGAGCGUGAACCGCCAGACUGGAUCUGAGACACGGUCCAGACUCCUACGGGAAGAAACGGUAGAGACUCUUCCGCGAUGGGCGAGUGCCUGACGGAGCAACGCGGCGUGAGUGAUGAAGGAGUUCGGAUCGUAGAACUCUGUUAGUAGGGGAGAACAAAUGUGUAAGUAACUGUGAACAUCUUGGCGGUACCUAAACAGAAAGCCACGGCUAACUACGUG